CGGCCGGGAGCGGGGCGGGGCAGCGGGCGGACGGCAGCUGCCGGCCUCAGCCCACGUGCGGCCUGCGGCGGCCCCGAGAGCCAGAGGACAUUUCCAAAGCCUCCCUAUGCAAAUCAGGGAACAGCAUCCUCCCAUACUCACGAAAAAGAAACACAUAUAAUCUUAGAGGAAAACAGAGUUGUACCACAGGAUAUAUCAGUGUCAUAACCUAA
This 212-nucleotide long non-coding RNA is filed under the name Coturnix japonica (Japanese quail). Its description in RNAcentral is "lncRNA (ENSCJPG00005004430.1)". Lineage: Eukaryota; Metazoa; Chordata; Aves; Galliformes; Phasianidae. The record is from RNAcentral.